AAGGCACACGGUGGAUGCCUUGGCACCAAGAGCCGAUGAAGGACGCGGCACGGCUGCGAUAAGCCUCGGUUAGCUGCCCAGCAAGCUCAGCCGGGGAUUUCCGAAUGGGGAAACCCAUCCCGAUGAACUCGGGAUAUCCAUAGCUGAACACAUAGGCUAUGAGAAGGUAAGUGGGGGAAGUGAAACAUCUCAGUACCCCGAGGAAAAUAAAAAGACAUUGAUUCUCCUAGUAGUGGCGAACGAACGGGGAACAGCCCAAACCUGGUAAGCCUAACGGCCUUGAAGCUUAUGCUUAUCAGGGGUUGCAAGACAGGUUAGAUUCAGUUCAAGAUGAGUCGAGGAGUUACAAACCAAACUCUAGCCAAAGGUCUCUGGAACGAGCUACCACAGAUGGUGAUAGUCCAGUAGGCGAAAGAGGUAGGCUCCUAAUCUGUUCUUAAGUACCACGGGGCACGUGAAACCUUGUGGGAAUCUGCCCUGACCAUGGGGCAAGGCUAAAUACUCUUGGUGACCGAUAGUGAACAAGUACCGUGAGGGAAAGGUGAAAAGAACCCCGGGAGGGGAGUGAAAUAGAACCUGAAACCGUGUGCUUACAAGCAGUCAGAGUCCCGAUUUAUCGGGAUGAUGGCGUGCCUAUCGAAGAAUGAUCCGGUGAGUUAAUCUAUGUAGCAGGUUAAGCAAUUAAGUUGCGGAGCCAAAGCGAAAGCGAGUCUGAAUAGGGCGAUGGUUGCAUGGAUUAGACGCGAAGCGGGGUGAGCUAGCCAUGGCCAGGGUGAAGCUCCGAUAAAACGGAGUGGAGGCCCGAACCUUUCAACGUUGCAAAGUUGUGGGAUGAGCUGUGGUUAGAGGUGAUAUGCCAACCGAACUCCGUGAUAGCUCGUUCUCCCCGAAAUGUAUUGACGUACAGCCUCAGGUAAUAGUUAAUGGAGGUAGGGCACUGGAUGGACUAGGGGGCAGACGCCUACCAACUCCAACCAAACCACGAAUGCCAUUAACCGUACCCUGGGAGUGAGACCAUGGGGGAUAAGCUCCAUAGGUCAAAAGGGAAACAGCCCAGAUCAUCAGCUAAGGUCCCAAAGCAUAGACUAAGUGGUAAAUGAGGUAGAACUGCACAGACAUCCAGUAGGUUGGCUUAGAAGCAGCCAUCCUUUAAAGAGUGCGUAAUAGCUCACUGGUUGAGUGGUGCUGCGCAAACAAUCCAACGGGGCUAAGUCUAUCACCGAAGCUAUGGGAUCCGAUUUAUUCGGAUCGGUAGGGGAGCGUUCCCUUCGCAUCGAAGUCGUUAUGUAAGUAACGGUGGAGCGCUGGGAAGUGAGAAUGCCGGAAUAAGUAGCGUAAGAUGUGUGAGAAACACAUCCACCGAAUGCCUGAGGUUUCCUACGCAAGGUUAAUCCGCGUAGGGUUAGUCGGUCCUAAGCUGAGGCCGAAAGGCGUAAGCGAUGGACAGCAGGUCAACAUUCCUGCACCACUUUUAUGGAGAUAAAGGGGUGACGCAGGAGGAUAGGUUGAGCAUGCCUAUUGGACAUGGUGUGUCACUUAUCUUAGGCAAUACCGGGGCAGGAAAAUCCACUCCGGUUGUUAAGCUGAGGAUAAGGGGAAGCUGAUUGGAAACAUGAUGCGAUUCAGCUGAAUCCAUGCUGCCUAGAAAACCCUCGUUAUCUGUGAAGUAAGAGUGUCCGUACCGCAAACCGACUCUGGUAGGCGGGGAUAAAAGUCCCAAGGUGAUCGAGAUAACCCACUUUAAGGAACUCGGCAAUCUAACCCCGUAACUUCGGGAUAAGGGGGACCCGUCUUUUGGUGGGUGGCACGAAAAUGGCUCGAGUGACUGUUUAUCAAAAACACAGGUCUCUGCUAAAGCGAAAGCUGAAGUAUAGGGGCCGAUACCUGCCCAGCGCCGGAAGGUUAAGGGGAGAUGUUUUAAAAGCAUUGAACCGAAGCCCCGGUGAGCGGCGGCCGUAACUAUAACGGUCCUAAGGUAGCGAAGUCCCUUGUCGGGUAAGUUCCGACCUGCACGAAUGGUGUAACAACUUGAGCGCUGUCUCAAAGUGGGACUCGGCGAAAUUGAAAUACCCGUGAAGAUGCGGGUUACCCGUGACAGGACAAAAAGACCCCGUGGAGCUUUACUAUAGCUUGGCAUUGAGUCUGGGUUUAUCAUAUGUAGGAUAGGUGGGAGGCUUUGAAGCCGGGGCGCCAGCUCCGGUGGAGCCAACGGUGAAAUACCACUUUUGAUAAAUCUAGUCUCUAACUCCAGAUCAAGCUGGAGGACAAUGCCUGGUGGGUAGUUUGACUGGGGCGGUCGCCUCCUAAAAUGUAACGGAGGCGCCCAAAGGUCCCCUCAGGGUGGAUGGAAAUCACCCAUUGAGUGCAUUGGCAUAAGGGGGCUUGACUGUAAGACACACAAGUCGAGCAGGCAGGAAACUGGGGCAAAGUGAUCCUACGA
This 2440-nucleotide ribosomal RNA is filed under the name sediment metagenome. RNAcentral describes it as "bacterial LSU rRNA". It matches the Rfam family "Bacterial large subunit ribosomal RNA", at positions 14 to 2426 of the family's 2925-position model. The record is from RNAcentral.